Molecule: ribosomal RNA, 433 nt
Filed under: uncultured bacterium
Lineage: Bacteria
Description: partial 16S ribosomal RNA
Rfam family: Bacterial small subunit ribosomal RNA
Source: RNAcentral
AACGAACGCUGGCGGCAUGCCUAACGCAUGCAAGUCGAACGAGACCUUCGGGUCUAGUGGCGCACGGGUGCGUAACGCGUGGGAACCUGCCCUUAGGUUCGGAAUAACUCCCCGAAAGGGGUGCUAAUACCGGAUAAUGUCUUCGGACCAAAGAUUUAUCGCCUUUGGAUGGGCCCGCGUUGGAUUAGCUAGUUGGUAGGGUAAAAGCCUACCAAGGCGACGAUCCAUAGCUGGUCUGAGAGGAUGAUCAGCCACACUGGGACUGAGACACGGCCCAGACUCCUACGGGAGGCGGCAGUGGGGAAUAUUGGACAAUGGGCGAAAGCCUGAUCCAGCAAUGCCGCGUGAGUGAUGAAGGCCUUAGGGUUGUAAAGCUCUUUUACCCGGGAUGAUAAUGACAGUACCGGGAGAAUAAGCUCCGGCUAACUCCGUG